UACGAAGGGGGCUAGCGUUACUCGGAUUGACUGGGCGUAAAGGGCGCGUAGGCGGUUUGUACAGUCAGACGUGAAAUUCCUGGGCUCAACCUGGGGGCUGCGUUUGAUACGUGCAGACUUGAGUUCGGAAGAGGGUCGUGGAAUUCCCAGUGUAGAGGUGAAAUUCGUAGAUAUUGGGAAGAACACCAGUGGCGAAGGCGACUUACUGGACACAUAUUGACGCUGAGGUGCGAAAGCGUGGGGAGCAAACAGG
This 253-nucleotide ribosomal RNA is filed under the name uncultured bacterium. RNAcentral's name for it is "partial 16S ribosomal RNA". It matches the Rfam family "Bacterial small subunit ribosomal RNA", at positions 524 to 776 of the family's 1533-position model. The record is from RNAcentral.